CAUUGGUUCACUGAAGUUAAGCAACAUUGAGCUGGGUCAGUACUUAGAUGGGUGACCACUUAAGAAUACUAGGUGCUGUAAG
Acanthosepion pharaonis is the source of this 82-nucleotide non-coding RNA. Lineage: Eukaryota; Metazoa; Mollusca; Cephalopoda; Sepiida; Sepiidae. The record is from the annotation of a GenBank genome assembly.